Molecule: unclassified non-coding RNA, 279 nt
Filed under: plant metagenome
Description: partial contains small subunit ribosomal RNA, internal transcribed spacer 1, and 5.8S ribosomal RNA
Source: RNAcentral
UUUCCGUAGGUGAACCUGCGGAAGGAUCAUUAUCGUACAAAAUGUGAGGGGCAUGCGAGGGCUGUCGCUGACCCAAAAGUCGUGCACGCCCGAGCGUGUCCUCUUGCAUAAUAAUCCAUCUCACCCUUUGUGCAUCACCGCGUGGGCAUCCUUCGGGCUCAUCUCGGAGGGGGGCUCGCGUUUUCACACAAACCCCCCUUUUAAAAGUGUAGUAUGACCACCUUUAUGCAAUCAAAACAACUCUCAACAACGGAUCCCGUGGCUCUCGCACCGACGAAA